RNAcentral lists this ribosomal RNA (247 nucleotides) under uncultured bacterium. RNAcentral's name for it is "partial 16S ribosomal RNA". It matches the Rfam family "Bacterial small subunit ribosomal RNA", at positions 530 to 776 of the family's 1533-position model. The record is from RNAcentral.
GGGUGCGAGCGUUAAUCGGAAUUACUGGGCGUAAAGCGUGCGCAGGCGGUUUUGUAAGUCAGAUGUGAAAUCCCCGGGCUUAACCUGGGAAUGGCAUUUGGGACUGCAAGGCUUGAGUGCGGCAGAGGAGACUGGAAUUCCUGGUGUAGCAGUGAAAUGCGUAGAUAUCAGGAGGAACACCGAUGGCGAAGGCAGGUCUCUGGGCUGACACUGACGCUCAUGCACGAAAGCGUGGGGAGCAAACAGG